UACGGAGGGUGCAAGCGUUAUCCGGAUUCACUGGGUUUAAAGGGUGCGUAGGCGGGCAGGUAAGUCCGUGGCGAAAUCCCCGAGCUUAACUCGGGAACUGCCAUGGAUACUAUUUGUCUUGAAUAUUGUGGAGGUAAGCGGAAUAUGUCAUGUAGCGGUGAAAUGCUUAGAUAUGACAUAGAACACCAAUUGCGAAGGCAGCUUACUACACAGUUAUUGACGCUGAGGCACGAAAGCGUGGGGAUCAAACAGG
Molecule: ribosomal RNA, 253 nt
Filed under: uncultured bacterium
Lineage: Bacteria
Description: partial 16S ribosomal RNA
Rfam family: Bacterial small subunit ribosomal RNA
Source: RNAcentral